Molecule: long non-coding RNA, 497 nt
Organism: Pieris napi
Lineage: Eukaryota; Metazoa; Arthropoda; Insecta; Lepidoptera; Pieridae
Exons: 2
Source: RefSeq, a predicted model, not a curated record
UUUACUCGGCGACGGUGAUGUGGUACCAGUGUUUGUAGCGACAGGUGUUGACCGGCCCGACGACGGCGAGUUUUCUGAAGAUGGAAGAAUGCAGUGUUAUUUUUACACCUUACGAUCUGUUGUUGCUGCUGAUGAGCAGCAGCCGUAGCCGCAGCAUGGGCAGCAGCCUGUGCGCUCAGCACAUGAGCUGCCAAUUCUCCGUCCACCAUCUCCAAGCCUCCAAGCGCACCGCUAGAAUACACCAUCAUUUUAGCACUAAAUCACAGCAGCCACAAAUUACACAAUAUCACGCUUCAAUAAGCGCGGCGACAGCGAAUAAUCCGCGUCAAGACGCUUUCUAUUCAAAUAAAAACAAUUGAAAAACAAGAAAAAAGCUAGAAUAGAGCGUUCGAAAACCAUAAACAAUUUAGAAAAAAGAAUGUUGUCCCUAUUUGUUGUAAGAUUUCUAUCAUAAAACAUAUAUCUUACAUCCAAUAAAACACAUUCAUAUUAAUAAA